UCAACUAGUCAUGUAUGUGAUCCAUGUAUAGUGUGUGAUUGACUUUUUGUCUCUAUAGCAUUGUCUGAUCUGAGUUGACCAUAUCCUCAUUGGCAGAACUCCAGAUUACCAUGUGAAAUGAAUGGUUGACUUUUUGUCUCUAUAGCAUUGUCUGAUCUGAGUUGACCAUAUCCUCAUUGGCAGGACUCCAGAUUACCAUGUGAAAUGAAUGGUUGACAGUAAUUGAGAAUAGAAGGGAGAUUAAAAUUUGGGAAGAAAUUUAGUUUUCUAUUAAUUUCUCAUGAACAACAGCUAUAACUACUACAACUCAGCCUUAUCCCAACUAAAAAGGGUUGGCUACAUGGAUCAAAGACACCAAAAGAAAAAGUAAGAGGGAAGGAACACAACUCAACAAAUCAGGUGUUUCAUGUAUCUGGUUCAGAUCUUUCGCAAAAGAGAGCGGAUGCUGGUAGUGGCUCUUGUAUCUGACUUUUCAAUGCUCCGGCCAAGAAUGAAGCAGAUUGUUGUUUCUUUUGGUUUCAUCUGAACCUCAGGUAAGAAGAGGGUGAUGGAGCAUGAACCAAAGAGAUCCUGAGUUCAGGUGAAGGAACUCUUCUGGUAAGCUUUCAAACCCAAUUGCUAUGCAUUUCUGGUAUGAGACUAUACAAAAAUGUGAUAUACACACAGAGAUUGCUCAACACUAUAAUACAUUUAAUCUGGCUAAAGAGAUUGCUUAACACUAUGGCUUCUAAGAGUUUCAGGCUUGCAGGUAUAUAUAGGAUAAGCAUUUCUGGGUGAUGGUCAGACUGUUCUUCUACUGCUGCCCUGCAUCUACCAUCCAAUUUCCUUCAGGUGUUGAAGUAAUGGAGAUCAAGACCUGAAAGGGGAUUUUGGGGAAUGGAUGUGAAGCUAGGGAAGCAUCUUCCCCAAUCCAACCCUGCCUUUUACAGCUUUACUUCACUCUUUCCUCUUGAAGAAGCUUUUGGUAUGCUGGAAAGCCCUUCUUGCAAGCUGAAACCUGCGCAGGAGGACAGAAACAGUUUAUGAUCUAUGAACUUUACAAACACACACAUGGGAUUUUUAAAAAUUUCAUUUUUAUUGUUGAGGAUUACUUCUCUAGGGUUGAAUAGACUGCUAAUGAAUUUUGAAAAGAAUAAUUUCUGCCUACUAA
Long non-coding RNA from Macadamia integrifolia, 1150 nucleotides. RefSeq lists it as uncharacterized. NCBI's taxonomy places the organism in Eukaryota, Viridiplantae, Streptophyta, Magnoliopsida, Proteales, Proteaceae. The record is from RefSeq and is a predicted model, not a curated record. The transcript has 2 exons.